Molecule: small nuclear RNA, 107 nt
Organism: Ailuropoda melanoleuca (giant panda)
Lineage: Eukaryota; Metazoa; Chordata; Mammalia; Carnivora; Ursidae
Source: Ensembl
GUGCUCACUUCAGCAGCACAUAUACUAAAACUGGAACAAUACAGGGAAGAUUAGCACGGCCUCUGCACAAGGAUGACACGCAAAUUCAUGAAACGUUCCAUAUUUUU